Long non-coding RNA from Dama dama (fallow deer), 981 nucleotides. RefSeq lists it as uncharacterized. The transcript has 3 exons. The record is from RefSeq and is a predicted model, not a curated record. Lineage: Eukaryota; Metazoa; Chordata; Mammalia; Artiodactyla; Cervidae.
GCCCUGUAAAAAGGAAUCAGGCAAGACUGAAAAACAAAACAGAACCAGUUCCCAGAGCAAACUGAUUUAUAUGGUCAUUUGAAAAGAGGAAGGAAGGAUGAUUGCCAUUUCCAAGUGUCAGGAUCCUGGUACAGUUUCGUGAGAGAGCUGGGACCUGGAAAACUGAAGGACUGCCCCCAGCCCUUUGAGGAAGACAGCUGUCCUGAUUCAUAAUGGAUGAGGAGGCCUAGCCUUGCCUACUGUGAGCCAAGAGCAGGCAGACAAACAGUUUCUCAUUGUGAGCUGGCUCAUCUUGCCCUCGAGACUUGCCUGAAAACUUGUUGGAUGUUGAGCCCUGAACAAACUCCUGUCUGCUGCCAUAUGCUGAGUCACGGUUCCUGUGACUCCUCACUGACUCCCGCUGCCUUCUAGGCGGACGGGCCUGACCCGGACUGAGAGGAAGCAGCGGCCGGCCAGACAUCCACACCUCCAGGCAGAGUCACUUCUGAGAUGCCGUCUUCCGUCCUCGGGGAGAAAACGAGUCAUCCAUCGGCCAGCCGGGUCGGGAGAGAGGCGUCGGACGGGGGUCGGCUGACAUCACGCCUGAUCUUUCCUGCCGAGUUUGAGGGAAGGUCACGCUUAAGCUUGACUUUUGAGGGAAAAGGAGGUGAUGUCAUCGAUGAGCUUUCUCUGCUUGAGGGUCAGGGGAUGAGGUCACUUCUGGGUUUGUCUUCAGGAGAAGAGUGAGAUCAUGCUGCUUUUCCCCAUAUUUCGGGUCGAGGAGUGAGGGGAGAGGGUACACUGGACUGGGAUGUGCCUUAUUUAAGAGGCCGGGGCGGUUGGGAAGCGCUCUCUGCCUUCAUACAGAAGGGCAGGCUUCUCUCUGGGAAGGUGCCUGAGGGACCACACCCUCCCGGGGCAGCAUAGGGCUUGGCGAGUCUGCUCUUCUGCUCAGGACACCAAAGUCAGCACGAUGGUUUUCAUGGACUCCUUCCUCCAUUA